This 69-nucleotide transfer RNA is filed under the name Ictidomys tridecemlineatus (thirteen-lined ground squirrel). Its description in RNAcentral is "Spermophilus tridecemlineatus (thirteen-lined ground squirrel) tRNA". It matches the Rfam family "tRNA". From Rfam's summary of the family: Transfer RNA (tRNA) molecules are approximately 80 nucleotides in length. Their secondary structure includes four short double-helical elements and three loops (D, anti-codon, and T loops). Lineage: Eukaryota; Metazoa; Chordata; Mammalia; Rodentia; Sciuridae. The record is from Rfam by way of RNAcentral.
GGGGUUGUGGCUCAGGGGUAGAGCACUCACCUAGCGUGUGUGAGGCACUGGGUUUGAUUCUCAGCACCA